This 387-nucleotide ribosomal RNA is filed under the name uncultured bacterium. Its description in RNAcentral is "bacterial SSU rRNA". It matches the Rfam family "Bacterial small subunit ribosomal RNA", at positions 28 to 417 of the family's 1533-position model. The record is from RNAcentral.
GACGAACGCUGGCGGCGUGCUUAACACAUGCAAGUCGAGCGGUAAGGCCCUUUCGGGGGUACACGAGCGGCGAACGGGUGAGUAACACGUGGGUGACCUGCCCUCAGCUCUGGGAUAAGCCUGGGAAACCGGGUCUAAUACCGGAUAUGACUCCAUGACGCAUGUUGUGGGGUGGAAAGCCUUGUGCGGCUGAGGAUGGGCCCGCGGCCUAUCAGCUUGUUGGUGGGUGAUGGCCUACCAAGGCGACGACGGGUAGCCGGCCUGAGAGGGCGACCGGCCACACUGGGACUGAGACACGGCCCAGACUCCUACGGGAGGCAGCAGUGGGGAAUCUUGCGCAAUGGGCGAAAGCCUGACGCAGCGACGCCGCGUGAGGGAUGACGGCCU